Labrus mixtus (cuckoo wrasse) is the source of this 607-nucleotide long non-coding RNA. RefSeq lists it as uncharacterized. The record is from RefSeq and is a predicted model, not a curated record. Lineage: Eukaryota; Metazoa; Chordata; Actinopteri; Labriformes; Labridae. The transcript is spliced from 2 exons.
AGGGCUUUCAUGUUGUAUAUGUGUUUAGAGAGACAAAGGGAGAGAGUGUAACGUGUACAGAGUUGGAGACGAGUUACUAUAUAUCUGCAUGACCUGUCUUAAUGAGAACAUUUAAAAUUAACAACAGGAAGGACGGCAAAUGCCAGAGAUGACUCCCACGGGUUUGAAGAACUGAGAUGUUACUUUGUUUAAGAGCAAGGAGGUAGUUAUACGCACAUCAUGUAUAGGUGCAGGGAGGUACAAGCACAGCAGACUGAGGAAGAAAAUGGGCCCACACACUCGCUCAAAUGCCACAAGAAAAUGUAUUUUAUCACAAUGUUUCGACCAAAAGUUAUCACCUGAAGAAGACCUUUGGUCGGAACGUUGUGAUGAAUUAAAAACUUUUUUGUGGCGGUGUGUGGGUCUAUCUUUUUCCUCUUUUUUUAAAAAACCACAAAUAAAACACGUGCAAGUUCUCUCCCUCUCUGUUAAAAAUAGAUGCAUGUAGAAUGUGAUUCAAGAUUAACACUUACUAUCAAUAGUAGUUUGAGAUUUUAUUUUUUGUGUUUUUAAUUUCAAUGUAUGUAACAGAAGUAAUAAAAUAAAUGACUGAAUGAAUGACAGACUU